CACGUAGGCACCAAGCGUUGUCCGGAUUUAUUGGGCGUAAAGAGCUCGUAGGCGGUUCGGUAAGUCGGGUGUGAAAACUCUGGGCUCAACCCAGAGCCGCCACUCGAUACUGCUGUGACUCGAGUGCGGUAGGGGAGCGGGGAAUUCCUGGUGUAGCGGUGAAAUGCGCAGAUAUCAGGAGGAACACCAGUGGCGAAGGCGCCGCUCUGGGCCGUGACUGACGCUGAAGAGCGAAAGCGUGGGUAGCAAACAGG
This 254-nucleotide ribosomal RNA is filed under the name uncultured bacterium. RNAcentral's name for it is "partial 16S ribosomal RNA". It matches the Rfam family "Bacterial small subunit ribosomal RNA", at positions 524 to 776 of the family's 1533-position model. The record is from RNAcentral.